GAUGAACGCUGGCGGCGUGCUUAACACAUGCAAGUCGAACGGAGCUUGUCUGAUAGAGGAUUCGUCCAAUUGAUUACAAGCUUAGUGGCGGACGGGUGAGUAACGCGUGAGCAACCUGCCUUUCAGAGGGGGAUAACGUUUGGAAACGAACGCUAAUACCGCAUAACGUUGUUUUGCCGCAUGACAGAACAACCAAAGGAGCAAUCCGCUGAAAGAUGGGCUCGCGUCCGAUUAGAUAGUUGGUGGGGUAACGGCCGUACCAAGUCGACGAUCGGUAGCCGGACUGAGAGGUUGAUCGGCCACAUUGGGACUGAGACACGGCCCAGACUCCUACGGGAGGCAGCAGUGGGGGAUAUUGCACAAUGGGCGAAAGCCUGAUGCAGCAACGCCGCGUGAGGGAUGACGGUUUCGGAUUGUAAACCUCUGUCUUUGGUGACGAAACAAUGACGGUAGCCAAGGAGGAAGCCACGGCUAACUACGUGCCAGCAGCCG
Molecule: ribosomal RNA, 492 nt
Filed under: uncultured bacterium
Lineage: Bacteria
Description: bacterial SSU rRNA
Rfam family: Bacterial small subunit ribosomal RNA
Source: RNAcentral